This is a long non-coding RNA of Notolabrus celidotus (New Zealand spotty), 511 nucleotides long. RefSeq lists it as uncharacterized. The transcript has 3 exons. NCBI's taxonomy places the organism in Eukaryota, Metazoa, Chordata, Actinopteri, Labriformes, Labridae. The record is from RefSeq and is a predicted model, not a curated record.
UGGUAUGGUGUCAGGAAUGACCUUAUAUCAGGUCAGCUCAGUUUGAUGUAACCGGCUGAUUAGCGCUCAUGCCCCACAGCUGGGUCUUCAGUCUCUGCAGAGCUCCGGGUUGAGAGCAGGACGGUGUUCCUUUCGGGUUGGCGGAUCGUUGUGUGCCGGCAACGCAUAUAGUACGCGGUACGAGCGUGAGGUAGUGACGUGAUAGGGUCGCGGACGGCCGAGGACAAGCCGGUCACGUUCAGAUCCUUUACCUUGUACCAGACGGCUUCUGAGUGGUCGCUGCUGUCGAGACCUGGGCACUGGAUCUUAGCACCUUGUCCAAUCAGCAGAUAAACUCUGCUGUCCUCGUCACUGAAGCGUCCUGAGCUGUUCCUCUUCACCACCUGCAGAUAGAAGAACAGUUUGCUGCCACUGGACAGCAUCACGUCCAUUACUGACACAUGCAAAGCACAGAAAGUCAAACUAAAGAUUAUUCAUUAUAGAUAAAAUAAUAAAGACGGUUUUAAAGAUA